UGUGCACAAACAAGCUUUGUAUUCUGCAC
RNAcentral lists this non-coding RNA (29 nucleotides) under Mus musculus (house mouse). Lineage: Eukaryota; Metazoa; Chordata; Mammalia; Rodentia; Muridae. The record is from RNAcentral.